This 786-nucleotide non-coding RNA is filed under the name Laemobothrion sp. Lineage: Eukaryota; Metazoa; Arthropoda; Insecta; Psocodea; Laemobothriidae. The record is from RNAcentral.
UAAAAAGAUACACUCUACUGAAGAUUUCCUAAAAGGAAUAAGAAUAAAAAGUAUCUUAUUUUACUUGAAACUAUGAAUUAAGGUUUUAUAUAGCCUAUGAAGAAGGGUUUAUGUCACUUUAAUAAUAAGAUGAGACUAAAAAGAUAUAAAUUUUGGAGUUAAUUACUUCUUCAUAACAGGCUUUGAUAACCUUGUGCCAGCGUCAGCGGUUAAACCGGGAAGUCAAGGCUAUGUAGCCUACAUAGGAACGUUAGAAAAGCGUAUCUUAAGUUAUAUUUAUGGGUAUAAUCCAAUAAUUGAUACAAUCAAUUUUUUCCAAAAAACAAAACGAAAGAUCAAUGCUUAUUAAACCGGGAUUAGAGACCCCGUUAUGGUGAUUGAAUACAGUUCCUGAGGAAAUUCUUUAAUCAACAAUUCUGGCUGUGUGAGAAAGUUAUUAGAGAAACUUGUCUAUUAAUUCGACAAUCCACGAGAACCCAACUUGAAUUGGUAAAUACUACCAUCUUACAUACCGCCGUUUAGGAAACGCAGGAGUCAAUAACCUAAAAAGAAUUUUUUCUAAAAAUCCAGGUAAAGGUGUAGACGAUGUUCAAGUUUAGAUGAGUUGCAAUUUAUCUAUAAUUGGAUAAAGAAUGAAAUUUCUUUAGUAAUUUGGAUUUAAAAGUAAUUAUUCAUUACCAGUGAGUAACGAAUAUCUUAUCUCACGAGUACAUAUCGCCCGUCACUCCCUCCUAAAAGAGGGAGAAGUCGUAACAUAGUUGGUCUACUGGAAGGUGGACCUAAAGC